UUUAAUUGUGAUACGCUGAGCUAGAAGCAAAACUUAGAAACAAUAAAUGCUCAAUGACACAAGACGCAGUCUUGGAUUAUGUAUUUGUGUUCUUUUACCAGAAUCUGGUUCUGCAAUUACCGCUUCCUGUAUUGGUUUGGGAAACUCUACAACGCCUCCACUUGGACAAGCAGGAAAACCAGUGCUGUGAUACAAUGGGAAGACUGUGCUAGCAUGCUGCUAGAAAAGGAUAUUGCUUAUAUUCCUGUUGAUGAUUCUGGAUGAAAAUAAGGAACCAGUCUUAACUUCAGGAAAUAUUGUGGUAAAGUAAGCAAACUAAAUAUUUUUGAAACUUCUGCCUCUUUAGUGCAUAACUGCUACCAUAAUAAAAUUGAGCUUUGUAAUUAAUGGAUAGACA
This 397-nucleotide long non-coding RNA is filed under the name Anas platyrhynchos platyrhynchos (common mallard). Its description in RNAcentral is "lncRNA (ENSAPLG00000020589.1)". The record is from RNAcentral. Lineage: Eukaryota; Metazoa; Chordata; Aves; Anseriformes; Anatidae.